CAGUAGCCGCGGGAAAACCAGCACCUCGAGUGGUCAGGAGGUUUAUUGGGCCUAAAGCAUCCGUAGCCGGUUGCAUAAGUUUUCGGUUAAAUCUAUGCGCUUAACGUAUAGGCCGCCGAAAAUACUGUGCAGCUAGGGAGUGGGAGAGGUACACGGUACUCGAUAGGAAGGGGUAAAAUCCUUUGAUCUAUUGAUGACCACCUGUGGCGAAGGCGGUGUACCAGAACACGUUCGACGGUGAGGGAUGAAAGCUGGGGGAGCAAACAGGAUUAGAUACCCCAGUAGUCCCUGUCUCUUAUAA
This 301-nucleotide ribosomal RNA is filed under the name uncultured bacterium. Its description in RNAcentral is "partial 16S ribosomal RNA". It matches the Rfam family "Archaeal small subunit ribosomal RNA", at positions 459 to 760 of the family's 1478-position model. The record is from RNAcentral.